GGGUUGUGAGGUUAAGCGACUAAGCGUACACGGUGGAUGCCCUGGCAGUCAGAGGCGAUGAAGGGCGUGCUAAUCUGCGAUAAGCGCCGGUAAGGUGAUAUGAACCGUUAUAACCGGCGAUACCCGAAUGGGGAAACCCAGUGUGACUCGUCACACUAUCAUUAACUGAAUCCAUAGGUUAAUGAGGCGAACCGGGGGAACUGAAACAUCUAAGUACCCCGAGGAAAAGAAAUCAACCGAGAUUCCCCCAGUAGCGGCGAGCGAACGGGGAGGAGCCCAGAGCCUGAAUCAGCAUGUGUGUUAGUGGAAGCGUCUGGAAAGGCGCGCGAUACAGGGUGACAGCCCCGUACACAAAAGCGCAUGUGCUGUGAGCUCGAUGAGUAGGGCGGGACACGUGGUAUCCUGUCUGAAUAUGGGGGGACCAUCCUCCAAGGCUAAAUACUCCUGACUGACCGAUAGUGAACCAGUACCGUGAGGGAAAGGCGAAAAGAACCCCGGCGAGGGGAGUGAAAAAGAACCUGAAACCGUGUACGUACAAGCAGUGGGAGCACAGGUUUACCUGUGUGACUGCGUACCUUUUGUAUAAUGGGUCAGCGACUUAUAUUCUGUAGCAAGGUUAACCGAAUAGGGGAGCCGGAGGGAAACCGAGUCUUAAUUGGGCGUUAAGUUGCAGGGUAUAGACCCGAAACCCGGUGAUCUAGCCAUGGGCAGGUUGAAGGUUGGGUAACACUAACUGGAGGACCGAACCGACUAAUGUUGAAAAAUUAGCGGAUGACCUGUGGCUGGGGGUGAAAGGCCAAUCAAACCGGGAGAUAGCUGGUUCUCCCCGAAAGCUAUUUAGGUAGCGCCUCGUGAAUUCAUCUCCGGGGGUAGAGCACUGUUUCGGCUAGGGGGCCAUCCCGGCUUACCAACCCGAUGCAAACUGCGAAUACCGGAGAAUGUUAUCACGGGAGACACACGGCGGGUGCUAACGUCCGUCGUGAAGAGGGAAACAACCCAGACCGCCAGCUAAGGUCCCAAAGUCAUGGUUAAGUGGGAAACGAUGUGGGAAGGCCCAGACAGCCAGGAUGUUGGCUUAGAAGCAGCCAUCAUUUAAAGAAAGCGUAAUAGCUCACUGGUCGAGUCGGCCUGCGCGGAAGAUGUAACGGGGCUAAACCAUGCACCGAAGCUGCGGCAGCGAACGUAUCACUUAAAGCGAUUCAGCGGGUUACGAUUGACGGAGCGAAGCGACGUCAAAGCGUAUACAAAGUCGAGUCGGUUUAAGGAUACGUUCGUUGGGUAGGGGAGCGUUCUGUAAGCCUGCGAAGGUGUCCCGUGAGGGUUGCUGGAGGUAUCAGAAGUGCGAAUGCUGACAUAAGUAACGAUAAAGCGGGUGAAAAGCCCGCUCGCCGGAAGACCAAGGGUUCCUGUCCAACGUUAAUCGGGGCAGGGUGAGUCGACCCCUAAGGCGAGGCCGAAAGGCGUAGUCGAUGGGAAACGGGUUAAUAUUCCCGUACUUGGUGUUACUGCGAAGGGGGGACGGAGAAGGCUAUGUUGGCCGGGCGACGGUUGUCCCGGUUUAAGCGUGUAGGUGUGUGUUCCAGGUAAAUCCGGUUCACUUUAACACUGAGGCGUGAUGACGAGGCACUACGGUGCUGAAGCAACAAAUGCCCUGCUUCCAGGAAAAGCCUCUAAGCAUCAGGUAACAUCAAAUCGUACCCCAAACCGACACAGGUGGUCAGGUAGAGAAUACCAAGGCGCUUGAGAGAACUCGGGUGAAGGAACUAGGCAAAAUGGUGCCGUAACUUCGGGAGAAGGCACGCUGACACGUAGGUGAAGUGAUUUACUCAUGGAGCUGAAGUCAGUCGAAGAUACCAGCUGGCUGCAACUGUUUAUUAAAAACACAGCACUGUGCAAACACGAAAGUGGACGUAUACGGUGUGACGCCUGCCCGGUGCCGGAAGGUUAAUUGAUGGGGUCAGCGCAAGCGAAGCUCCUGAUCGAAGCCCCGGUAAACGGCGGCCGUAACUAUAACGGUCCUAAGGUAGCGAAAUUCCUUGUCGGGUAAGUUCCGACCUGCACGAAUGGCGUAAUGAUGGCCAGGCUGUCUCCACCCGAGACUCAGUGAAAUUGAACUCGCUGUGAAGAUGCAGUGUACCCGCGGCAAGACGGAAAGACCCCGUGAACCUUUACUAUAGCUUGACACUGAACAUUGAGCCUUGAUGUGUAGGAUAGGUGGGAGGCUUUGAAGUGUGGACGCCAGUCUGCAUGGAGCCGACCUUGAAAUACCACCCUUUAAUGUUUGAUGUUCUAACGUGGACCCGUAAUCCGGGUUGCGGACAGUGUCUGGUGGGUAGUUUGACUGGGGCGGUCUCCUCCUAAAGAGUAACGGAGGAGCACGAAGGUUGGCUAAUCCUGGUCGGACAUCAGGAGGUUAGUGCAAUGGCAUAAGCCAGCUUGACUGCGAGCGUGACGGCGCGAGCAGGUGCGAAAGCAGGUCAUAGUGAUCCGGUGGUUCUGAAUGGAAGGGCCAUCGCUCAACGGAUAAAAGGUACUCCGGGGAUAACAGGCUGAUACCGCCCAAGAGUUCAUAUCGACGGCGGUGUUUGGCACCUCGAUGUCGGCUCAUCACAUCCUGGGGCUGAAGUAGGUCCCAAGGGUAUGGCUGUUCGCCAUUUAAAGUGGUACGCGAGCUGGGUUUAGAACGUCGUGAGACAGUUCGGUCCCUAUCUGCCGUGGGCGCUGGAGAACUGAGGGGGGCUGCUCCUAGUACGAGAGGACCGGAGUGGACGCAUCACUGGUGUUCGGGUUGUCAUGCCAAUGGCACUGCCCGGUAGCUAAAUGCGGAAGAGAUAAGUGCUGAAAGCAUCUAAGCACGAAACUUGCCCCGAGAUGAGUUCUCCCUGAGACUUAGAGUCUCCUGAAGGAACGUUGAAGACGACGACGUUGAUAGGCCGGGUGUGUAAGCGCAGCGAUGCGUUGAGCUAACCGGUACUAAUGAACCGUGAGGCUUAACCUUACAACGCCGAAG
Molecule: ribosomal RNA, 3010 nt
Filed under: Salmonella enterica subsp. enterica serovar Kentucky
Lineage: Bacteria; Pseudomonadati; Pseudomonadota; Gammaproteobacteria; Enterobacterales; Enterobacteriaceae
Description: 23S ribosomal RNA
Rfam family: Bacterial large subunit ribosomal RNA
Source: RNAcentral